This 259-nucleotide ribosomal RNA is filed under the name uncultured bacterium. RNAcentral's name for it is "partial 16S ribosomal RNA". It matches the Rfam family "Bacterial small subunit ribosomal RNA", at positions 15 to 263 of the family's 1533-position model. The record is from RNAcentral.
GAUCAUGGCUCAGGAUGAACGCUAGCUACAGGCUUAACACAUGCAAGUCGAGGGGCAGCAUUUUAGUUUGCUUUGCAAACUAAAGAUGGCGACCGGCGCACGGGUGAGUAACACGUAUCCAACCUGCCGAUAACUCGGGGAUAGCCUUUCGAAAGAAAGAUUAAUAUCCGAUGGUAUAUUAAAACCGCAUGGUUUUACUAUUAAAGAAUUUCGGUUAUCGAUGGGGAUGCGUUCCAUUAGUUUGUUGGCGGGGUAACGG